Molecule: long non-coding RNA, 1604 nt
Organism: Megalobrama amblycephala (Wuchang bream)
Lineage: Eukaryota; Metazoa; Chordata; Actinopteri; Cypriniformes; Xenocyprididae
Exons: 3
Source: RefSeq, a predicted model, not a curated record
AAGUUAGCCGUUACUCUUUCUCCAAUGGUAAGAGAUACAGACCCUCUUAAGUGGACUGCGAAGCCCAGAUAGCAAGCACUUUUGGGCCGAUUCCGGCAGAAAAGCGGCACUGUCGGCUCACUGUCGACGUCGAUGAAAAGAUUAUGGGCCAUAACUCUGCCGACUGUACACAACGCAUCUGGCUGACAGACAGCGUUUUCUUUAUGGGCCGGUCUCGGCUGAAAUAGUUGUACUCGCGGAAGGUCCAUAUAACUCGGUAUAGAUCUAUCGGCCCGAGUUCGUUUCGUAAUAGGCGGGCCCCCAAAUAUCAAGCACUUUUGGGCCGAUUCAGGUUUAAGCGCGCCAACAUCGACUCAAUUUCAGAGUCUGUGAAAAGAUAAUGGGCCAGAGCCGUGUGGACUGUACGGUUGACAGACGGCUUUUUCUGAACGGGCCAAUCACGACUGAAAGCUCGUUAUCUGUUUUCGGACCGAGUUCGUUUGUCACGGGCGGGCCACUGCUGGAGUUAAGGAAUUCAGCCGCCUGAAAAAAAAAGAGUUUUGGCGGUUAAAUCCUGAGGAGAAUCCUGCAGUCAACAUUUCAUGAUCGAGAGAAAGGAUCAGCUGCAAAACGCUGCAGUUCAGAGAAACCCUGCUGAAAUGGAGGAUGAGGGGACCAUGAAGAGGUGGCUGCAACUGGCAGCAAAUUGAAAGGGCGGAUGCAUGAACAGAUGGUUGAGAUGACCACAACAGCCCUGAAUGUCAGCAGAGAACAUGACAACUAAACAAGCUCUGGAGACAGAUCCGCUGUGAAGACCUCGUCGACAACAGUCUACAGCACAGAUCUUCAGCAAAGAUCACGAGAACCAGACGAGACCUCUGCAAAGCCACUUCAACUUCUCUUCCCUCUACAUAUGCCAUUGUGCUGUGUUUGAUCCUCAAGCUGAAUGAUAUCAGUCCACAAUCUAACUUCUGAUGCAGCUGAAUCAUAAUCACACUGUAUUUGUUUGGCCAGAGGAAAACUGGCCCUCGACUGAGCCUGGUUCCUCCCAGGGUUUUUUCUUCAUUCUGUCAUCUGAUGGAGUUUGGGUUCUUGUCACUAUCGCCUCUGGCUUGCAUAGUUGGACACCUACUUUUCAAUAAUAUUGAUCUGACUGCAUUGACACUAUUGGAUGAGAACUCAACAGAGCUGGAUUAUGACAUUACUGUUUUCUGCAGAACUACUUUAUAGUUGAAUUGAACUCAUUGAACUGAACUGAAACAACACUGAAAUGACUUCAGCUGAACAAUCACACUGUCUUUUGCUCCAUUACAGUAUUUAAUUCUGUUUGCAUAAUUGAAUUAUUAUUUUCCAGUUUAUCACUGUAAAGCUUCUUUGAAACAAACUGUAAUGUAGGUUAUAAAGCACUAUGUGAAGGUGACUUAACUUUUUGCUUUUUGAAAAUUAUUGCUAAAAGAUUUUUUAUGUGUAAGAAAGGAUGUUGUUUCUCCAUUUAAUAUACAGUAAAUAAUUAACUUAGUAUUUAGUGGUUUAAAAUGUAUGUUGUUAAUAAAUGUUUAUAGUGUAUUCAUUGUUAAUACUUAUAGUGUAUUUGUUAAUUUUAUAAUAAAAUGUCUUCAUCUUUU